RNAcentral lists this ribosomal RNA (472 nucleotides) under uncultured Glomus. RNAcentral describes it as "SSU rRNA". It matches the Rfam family "Eukaryotic small subunit ribosomal RNA", at positions 569 to 1047 of the family's 1831-position model. The record is from RNAcentral. Lineage: Eukaryota; Fungi; Glomeromycota; Glomeromycetes; Glomerales; Glomeraceae.
AGCAGCCGCGGUAAUUCCAGCUCCAAUAGCGUAUAUUAAAGUUGUUGCAGUUAAAAAGCUCGUAGUUGAAUUUCGGGGUUAGUAGAUUGGUCAUGCCUUUGGUAUGUACUGGUCUUACUGAUUCCUCCUUCCUGAUGAACCGUAAUGCCAUUAAUUUGGUGUUGCGGGGAGACUGGACUGUUACUUUGAAAAAUUAGAGUGUUUAAAGCAGGCCGAUGCCUGAAUACAUUAGCAUGGAAUAAUGAAAUAGGAUGUUGAUCCUAUUUUGUUGGUUUCUAGGAUUGACGUAAUGAUUAAUAGGGAUAGUUGGGGGCAUUAGUAUUCAAUUGUCAGAGGUGAAAUUCUUGGAUUUAUUGAAGACUAACUACUGCGAAAGCAUUUGCCAAGGAUGUUUUCAUUAAUCAAGAACGAAAGUUAGGGGAUCGAAGACGAUCAGAUACCGUCGUAGUCUUAACCAUAAACUAUGCCGACU